RNAcentral lists this ribosomal RNA (301 nucleotides) under uncultured bacterium. RNAcentral's name for it is "partial 16S ribosomal RNA". It matches the Rfam family "Bacterial small subunit ribosomal RNA", at positions 509 to 807 of the family's 1533-position model. The record is from RNAcentral.
CAGUCGCCACGGGAAUACGUAGGGUGCAAGCGUUAAUCGGAAUUACUGGGCGUAAAGCGCGCGCAGGCGGUUCUAUAAGACAGAUGUGAAAUCCCCGGGCUCAACCUGGGAACUGCAUUUGUGACUGUAGAGCUGGAGUGCGGCAGAGGGGGAUGGAAUUCCGCGUGUAGCAGUGAAAUGCGUAGAUAUGCGGAGGAACACCGAUGGCGAAGGCAAUCCCCUGGGCCUGCACUGACGCUCAUGCACGAAAGCGUGGGGAGCAAACAGGAUUAGAUACCCGCGUAGUCCCUGUCUCUUAUAC